RNAcentral lists this long non-coding RNA (2293 nucleotides) under Pelobates cultripes (western spadefoot toad). The record is from RNAcentral. Lineage: Eukaryota; Metazoa; Chordata; Amphibia; Anura; Pelobatidae.
CCGCGGUGUGUGUGAGUAAUAAAAAAAUAAAUACAAUUUUAAAAAUAUAAAAAUAUUACUUGUUAUCUGGGAUGGUUUUAUCAUUGUUGAUAUAAAUUUGUAUUGUUUUAUUUUAUGGUUUUACAUAUAUACCUUUGCUUACACCUCAUUACCAGGGCCGGGUCCACUUCACCUACUGUUAAAGUAUGUCAAACAUGUUUUGUUAUAAUAUAGUGUUUGUUUUGUUUACCAUUGUACAGUACUGUGGAAUAUGUUGGCACUAUAUAAAUAAUUGUAAUUGUAAUUUCAAUACCCUUACUGUAUGGAGGGGGCAAUCAUGAUAUUAUUUAUACGAAGUCUCCAGAGAAGCCUACAGAGUAGAUGUAGAUGAGGUACUCCAUUCCUUCUGGAUCACUAGUCCUUAAGCAAACCAACAAGUUAAAGGGGCUUAAAACACAUAUCUUGUUGAAAAGGGAGGGAAUUCUGUAAGAUGGGAAGGAGAGGAUAGCUUGGAAAUAUGGACCUUGUCUGCAAAUAAGAGGGUGAUUUGCAUUAAGGAGGAUUUAGCCGAUGAUGCAAAAUAUAGUGGGAGCCAUAAAUAGGAGGAACACAAAUAAAACCCAAAGUCAAAGAUGGGGAACAAGCAGUUAAUUGGUUGUCAGUUACAUGUGGUAGCAGGGGGAUGGGAAGAGGAAAGGUAUGGCUAUUCCUGCAUUUGUGCAGCCUAACAGAUUGCUUGUUCGAGUAAAGAUGUUGCGAGCAUCAGCUCAAGAAUAGCUGCACUGGAGGAAGCUGUUCCUUCUAUCAGCUGGGGAACAGCUCCUUUAGUACAGCCAGGAGGAUUGGGAAUGUAAGAAGGGCUAUACUGGCUGUGAUGGUAGGGGACUCUAUUAUUAGGCGAGAAGACUGGGUGAUCUGCUCCUCUGAUUAUCUCAGCUGGAUAGUUUGCAGGUCUGGCAUGUUGCUGACAGAAUAGACAGAUUAUUGCAGUGGUGGAACUAAUGUAGAUAGGGCCCUGGUGCAAAAAAAAAAAAUGUUGGGUCCCCAUCUAGCUGCAUAGAGUAUGUGUGUGCCUGUAGGAGUGUAAAUGUGUGUACUGUUGCCAUUGGAAUGUAGCGGUGUACUUGUGUGUAGUGUGUGUUUUGAAUGCAUUGGUGUGCUUCUAUGUAGUGUUGGCUUUUAAAUACAGGUGUGCUUUUGUUUGUAGAGUUGGUGAUUGUAUAUAAUUUUAGUAUCUUAAUACAGUGAGUGUGUUUUAUGUAAUGAUUGCAUUUGCAUGCAGAGGUGUGUUUGGAUGUAGUGUUGUAUUUUGAGGAUACAAAAACUGACACAUACAUGCACAGACAGAAAGAUGCACACACUGACCCAUACACACACCUUGACGUAGAACACAAGGUCACACAGUUACAACUGAAGAAAGAACAAUAAGGAUGUGGAAUUCUUUACCUGAAGAGGUGGUUUUAUCAGAGUUUGUACAGAUAUUUAUACUGCAAUUGGAUUAAUACUUACAAUAUUCAGGGAUAUCAUUUUUAAGAGGUGGCAUAACAGCUUUUUUUUUUUUCAAGGAGAAAUCUGACUGCCAUUCUUUGGUCCAGAAGAGAAUUUUUCCUCAUUUGUUACAUGAUUGGAAGUGUUUAAAACUGGGGUUUUUUGCCUUCUUUUCGAUCAACAGUAAAAACAGAUGUGUGACAUGCUGAACUUGAUGGACACGUGUCUCUUUUCAGCCUAUGCAACUAUGUAAUUAUAUCUUUAUUUAAUUUCCAUUCUGUCUCUAUAUCUGCCACCAAAGUGUGAUCUGGCAACAUUUUAACUAUGGAUAAAUAUUUGUAAAAGCGUAAAUAAAGGCUUGACUAGAAUCAAACCAUUACCUGGUCACCCUAGGUGGCUAAAAUAAACAUUGGGAAUUCUAAAAAGAGUUUGAUAUUUAUUCAUGCAGAUGAUUGAGGAAUAUUAAAAUGGCAAGUCCUCAGAGGCUCUCAACAUGUAUUGAAAGCAUUGGUUAAUGAAGAUGAAUAACAAAUCAGCACAAUGUUAUCCUUCAUGCGUAAAGCUAGUUACUAAUCAUAGCUAAGAUGUAUUACUGCCCUUUCAGGAAACUAAGUGCUAUUGCAAUUAUUUGAUUAAAGAUUAUACAGAGUCCUGGCAAAUGAAUCAGUUUACUUUAUUUUUAUUAACACAUUAUCUGCAAUAAAUGAAUCUUCUCUGUGCUUGCUUCCAUUUAUUUUAUUUUCAGAUUUAAUGACAGCAAAAUGCAGACUGAAUUAUUUCAUGUCAUUAUAUUACAUUGUUUUCUAGAAUAUAUAUUUUUAGUAAG